Molecule: ribosomal RNA, 536 nt
Filed under: uncultured bacterium
Lineage: Bacteria
Description: bacterial SSU rRNA
Rfam family: Bacterial small subunit ribosomal RNA
Source: RNAcentral
AAUAGAUACCCGGGUAGCCCACGCCGUAAACGAUGGAUGCUAGCUGUUAGGAGUAUCGACCCUCCUAGUAGCGUAGCUAACGCGUUAAGCAUCCCGCCUGUGGAGUACGGUCGCAAGACUAAAACAUAAAGGAAUUGACGGGGACCCGCACAAGCGGUGGAGCGUGUUGUUUAAUUCGAUGGUAAGCGAAGAACCUUACCCAGGCUUGACAUCCUGUUAAUUUCUCCGAAAGGAGAGAGUGCCUUCGGGCCGCAGUGACAGGUGAUGCAUGGCCGUCGUCAGCUCGUGUCGUGAGAUGUUUGGUUAAGUCCCAUCAACGAGCGCAACCCCUAUGUUUAGUUGUAUUUUUCUAAACAGACUGCCCUGGUAACAGGGAGGAAGGAGGGGAUGAUGUCAGGUCAGUAUCUCCCUUACGUCUGGGGCUACAAACACGCUACAAUGGCCGGUACAAAGGGCUGCCAACCCGCGAGGGGGAGCGAAAUCCCAUCAAAGCCGGUCUCAGUUCGGAUAGCAGGCUGAAACUCGCCUGCUUGAAG